Molecule: ribosomal RNA, 466 nt
Filed under: uncultured bacterium
Lineage: Bacteria
Description: bacterial SSU rRNA
Rfam family: Bacterial small subunit ribosomal RNA
Source: RNAcentral
AAGUCGCGUGAAGGAUGAAGGUCUUAUGGAUUGUAAACUUCUUUUGCAAGGGAAUAAAGUGGGGGACGUGUCCUCCUUUGCAUGUACCUUGCGAAUAAGGAUCGGCUAACUCCGUGCCAGCAGCCGCGGUAAUACGGAGGAUCCGAGCGUUAUCCGGAUUUAUUGGGUUUAAAGGGUGCGCAGGCGGGAUGUUAAGUCGGCGGUGAAAUUUUGCAGCUCAACUGUAAAAGUGCCUUCGAUACUGGCUUUCUUGAGUGUGGAUGAAGUAGGCGGAAUUUGUGGUGUAGCGGUGAAAUGCUUAGAUAUCACGMGGAACUCCGAUUGCGCAGGCAGCUUACUAAACCACUACUGACGCUCAUGCACGAAGGCGUGGGGAUCAAACAGGAUUAGAUACCCUGGUAGUCCACGCAGUAAACGAUGAUCUACUAGUUGUUUGCGACGCCCGCCGCGCCCCGMGCCCGUAGCC